RNAcentral lists this ribosomal RNA (3265 nucleotides) under Morchella importuna. Its description in RNAcentral is "large subunit ribosomal RNA". It matches the Rfam family "Bacterial large subunit ribosomal RNA". The record is from RNAcentral. Lineage: Eukaryota; Fungi; Ascomycota; Pezizomycetes; Pezizales; Morchellaceae.
AUGGAAUGUAUUAUUUACCAAAUUAUUCUUAUUUUAUUUAUAAUUAAGAAUAAUUUGGAAAGUAUAUAAAGAAAUUAUUAUGGAUUAUUAGCAAUAUAUCAGAAGAGAACAGAUAAUAAAAUUCUUUAAUUUGUGUUUAGCACAUAAGCUCUUAGAGAAAUUAAGUAAAAAACGAAGUGAAAAGAAACUUCUUAGUAACUUUAGGAAAAGAAAUCAAAAGAGAUUCUAUAAUUAGUGUGAAUGAAAAUAGAGAAGCCUAUAAAUAAAUAAGUAAAAUGGGUAUUAAUCUGUUUGAAUUAUAAGGGGAACCUUCCUCUAAGGCUAAAUAUGGUAUAUUAGCGAUAGUGAAUAGUACCGUGAGGGAAAAAUAUGAAAUAGUAGUUUUAUAAGCAGCUCGAAAAGAAUUUAAAUAAAUAAUAAGAGUGUACCUUUUGUAUAAUGGGUCAGCAAGUUAAUAUUAGAUGUAAGCAGUAUUGCCUAGAUAAAACGAUUAUCAAAUUAAUGAAAAAAUAUCUAAUAUUAGACCCGAAACCUAGUGAUCUUACCAUGGUCAGGGUUAUAAAAGCCCGAACGGGUUAUCGUUGUAAAGAUAUCCGAUGAAUUGUGGUAAGUUGGUGAAAGACAAAACUGACUAGGAAUAGCUGGUUUUCCGCGAAACCUAUCUAAGUAGGUAAUUUAAAUAACAUCAUAGCAGGUACAGAACUGAGAUCUCAUAUCAACUUAUUGAUUAGUUUUAAUCAAUUUUUUUAAUAUCGGGGAAUCGUGAAGAUUUUACUGAUGAGUAAUCAUCCUCGGAAUGGUAAUGAUGAAUGUUGAAUAAUCAGACAUAGAAUGCUAAGGUUGUAUGUCAAAAGGGAAACAGCCCAGAACAAGUGUUAUAGUAAGGUUCCAAAAUUAUUAUUAAGUGAAAUAAAGGAAGUCUUUUUUUUAAUUCGAUCAGGAAAUAGGCUUAGAAGCAGUCAUUUUUUGAAGACCUCGUAACAGAGCACUGGUUAACAUUGAAAAAGGCAUUGAAAAUUUAACGGAUCUAAAAUAAUAUACCGAAACCUUGUCCAUAGUUAUAAUAGCUUUUUUUAAUAAUUAUGGGGUAGCGGAACGUAGGGUAUAUAAAAGAAUUUUGGUCUUUUUAAGAAAAAUAAUAUAACCCUAGUGAUAAUGCUGAUAUGAGUAACGAUAAAGGCCAGCCUACGGGUUGGCCUCGCCUUAAGCUUAUGGUAUAAAUGAAAGUAACGGCCUCUAAGUUUAUUAACCUAAAGGACUAAAUGAUGAGAAAACCUUGUUUAUGCGGCACAACCUUUAAAUCUUAUUACUAAAUAGGGGGAGGUUUAAUCCCAGCCCUCCGGGCAGCUAUUUAGUAAAAGAUAAGUGAUGAAGAGUUCUGGAAAAAUGAUAAACAUAUAACCGUACCUAAAUACCAUCUCAGGUAAGCAAGUAGAGAAUACGAAGGCGUUUGAGUGAACAAUCAUAAAGGAACUCGGCAAAAUAACUCCGUAACUUAGGGAUAAGGAGUACCGUUCAUCUUAAUUAAUAUCAAGAAAAGUUUAGGUAGCAUAAAAUCGAGUUGUACGACUGUUUAAUUAAAACAAAGCACUUUGCAUAAAGAUGACAAGUCUAAGUAUUAAGUGUGAUCUCUGCCCAAUAUUUGUAGGAUAACGAAUAAGCUCAGUGGAUAACACAAGAUUGGCUUAAGAGGAAUCUCUGAUUAAUGGCGGCCUUAUCUAUAAGGGUCCUAAGGUAGCGGAACACCCUGGCCGUUAAAUGCGGUCUUGCAUGAGGAAUGAUUUAACGAUACAACAGCUGUCUCUAUGAUUGGCUCAGUGAAAUUGGAAUAGCAGUGAAGAUACUGUUUACCUCUAGAUAGACGAGAAGACCCUAUGCAGCUUUACUGUUACUAGCUAUUGCAUAUGGUAGGGCAAAGUUGUAGUGUAUAAGGUAGUUGGUUAGAUAGAAUUGAAACACCUUUACUUUAAACUAUCAUAUAGCUGGGAAGCCGGAUUAUUACGUCCGAGCAUAUCCCCCUCGAAAUAGCAAAUGGCCACCUCUCACUCCUGGCUACGCCAGGAUGAAGGGUGGUGUUAAUUUUAACAACGUUUGUUAAAUUAGGGUGACCAUAUUAUCAUUAAGUAAUGAAUAAAAGAAUAUUGGCUAGGUGGCAGUUUAUGCGGGGCACAGAUCCCAUAAAGAGUACCUGGGUGUAUCCAAAAUAGAAAAAAAUACUAGUGCAUGGGGCGCUUUGCGGCCCAAGCCUUAUUUUAAAUUUAAUUAAAUUUAAGGUAAUUUCAUUAUUAUCUUUUUAAAAUGUUUUAUAUAGUUUAUAUAAAAUUAAAUCAAGUAUGAAUCUAUUUUAGUUAGAGACUUUAUUUAUCAAGAAAGUAAGAGUUAACUAUAUGGAAAAUAGUGGAGAAGUAUAAGUAUUAACUGUACUAAUGUAUGGUAAUAUAUUUUAGUUGCUUAAAUCUGGCUUGAGGCCUUAUGAAAAGCGAUUUUUAUUUUUAUCUCUGAAUAAGUUUAAUGGCUUAAACUUGCUUUACUGUCUGACCUACGAGUCUAUCAGUCGCGUAAGCGGGGCAUACGAUCACAAGAUGCAGAAAGGAAAGGGUCUUGGAUUAUUGAAAAAAGCUACGCUAGGGAUAACAGGCUAAUUGCGUCAGAGAGUACAUAUUGAGUACGCAGUUUGGCACCUCGAUUGGUCGGCUUAGCUUAUCCUCGUGAACGCAGAAAUCAUGAAGGGUACGGCUGUUCGUCGUUUAAAAAGCUACACGAGCUGGGUUAAAUACGUCGUGAGACAGUAUGGUUUCUAUCUUCUAGGGGGAAUUAGAGUAAAAUAAGGGUUGACCCUUCGUACGAAAGGAGUUGGGUAUAGUAACCUCUGGUUUACCUGUUGUUUAUUGUGUCCGAUAUUAAUAUCACCGGGCGGUUUUAAAAACCACCUGUCCUUGUUUAUUCCCUAGCUAGGGAGCAUACAAGGGAAAGAUAAUUUCUUUGUCUAUAUACGAUUUAGGUUCGGAUAGAUAAAGAUAGGGGAGUUACUAUCACUUAAGUAAUUUUAUAGCAUAGGCACGGCAGGAAAGCUACGUUUUUUAAGGAUAAGGGCUGAAUGCAUGUAUGUUCGAAUCCCACUUUAAGAUACUCUUAAAAAAAUACGUGGUAUACUACUACGAUUUAUGUGUUUAAAACAUAUUACUAAUAGGUUUUGACUGUAAGGAUUGCAAUCUUUAGGUAAAAAAUACUAAUUUAUUAUACACUGGAUAAUACACUUAUCGUU